RNAcentral lists this ribosomal RNA (440 nucleotides) under uncultured bacterium. Its description in RNAcentral is "partial 16S ribosomal RNA". It matches the Rfam family "Bacterial small subunit ribosomal RNA", at positions 339 to 795 of the family's 1533-position model. The record is from RNAcentral.
CUACGGGGUGCUGCAGUAGGGAAUCUUAGACAAUGGGGGAAACCCUGAUCUAGCCAUGCCGCGUGAGUGAUGAAGGCCUUAGGGUUGUAAAGCUCUUUCGCUGGGGAAGAUAAUGACGGUACCCAGUAAAGAAACCCCGGCUAACUCCGUGCCAGCAGCCGCGGUAAUACGGAGGGGGUUAGCGUUGUUCGGAAUGUACUGGGCGUAAAGCGCGCGUAGGCGGGCUAUUAAGUCAGGGGUGAAAUCCCGGGGCUCAACCCCGGAACUGCCUUUGAUACUGGUAGUCUUGAGUUCGAGAGAGGUGAGUGGAAUUCCGAGUGUAGAGGUGAAAUUCGUAGAUAUUCGGAGGAACAUCAGUGGCGAAGGCGACUCACUGGCUCGAUACUGACGCUGAGGUGCGAAAGUGUGGGGAGCAAACAGGAUUAGAUACCCGCGUAGUC